CAACCGUGGGUUUUGCUGAUUUUGCGAUUCACAAAGGUGGUUUCAAAUGAAACCAUGGUUUCAACCGUGGGUUUUCGGCAUGAUUUUGAGUCAACUGUUUUAGGUGGUUUCAAACCGUGGGUUUUAGGAAAACCAUGGUUUUUAGGCAGAUUGACCAAUCACAGAACAGUAUUUCGGUACAUUGCUGAGCUAGCUAGCUAGCUGAGCAAGUGCAUAGACGACGAUAAAUAGCUUUGCACGAAAUGAAGAGGAGCAAAGCGUUUAAUAUCGGUAUUUGCCGAGCUGUGAGAACAUCUAAAUUUUUGAAUGGAUGAAAACAUCUUACAACAUUCACAGGCUGUCCUGAGAGACUAUUAAAUGAGGAUUGUUAGAGAGGAAUAUGCCAACAAGAACUGCAAUUAGGAGUCGUUGACAGGAGGAAACUUUUUAAAAGAGACCACACACUACCUCAUCAACAUGCUUGAAGAUGAUCUGAGCCUGAAGAGGGACAAAGGGCCUCGUGAUAGACUACCUUUCUCUCUGCAAGUAUUGACAAUUCUGCUUUUGUAUGCUGAUAAUUUCAGGGAAUACAUGGUGAUGAGGCAUCAGUGUUGCAAUCAUCUGUUUGUGAGUGAUCAAAGAUGUUUCACAAGCCAUAGCAAGAAGAAAGAGGUUUUGUGAGAACUUCAACAACAAGAGAUGAGAUUGAGGCUACCCAACAACAACUGUAUGAGUGAUUGAUGGGACCCAUGUCUAUACAAGAAUUCCUGGAGGGAAACAAGCCUUGUACUUUCCUGAAGGGCAAGUCCACCCCAACAAAAAGUUUCUUUGAUAUAAUAGAGAAAAGUCCAAUGAGCAUAACACUGAAAAUUUCAUCAAAAUUUGAUGUAAAAUGAGAAAGUUUUGACAUUUUGAAGUUUCGCUUAUUUU
RNAcentral lists this long non-coding RNA (909 nucleotides) under Lytechinus variegatus (green sea urchin). Its description in RNAcentral is "uncharacterized LOC121419918". Lineage: Eukaryota; Metazoa; Echinodermata; Echinoidea; Temnopleuroida; Toxopneustidae. The record is from RNAcentral.